CCCUCCCCUCUCUUCCCAAAAUCCCCCUUCCCUCCCAAAAUCCCCAUUCCCUUGUAUUAGCUAGGUCUUAACUUAGGAAAAAAUAAUGGAAAAGAUAACCCUAGCCAAGCCCUCUUUCAUUCUUGCUCCGUGGCCUAUUCGUCAUGCAAAACCCUCGUCGUCUUGCUUCAAUCAUCUUAGUGAGCCGUCACCAUCGCCGUCGCCACUCCAUCUUCUCAGACGCAGAACCAGAAUCAGUUGCCAGUUGCCAGUUACGCAGAACUGGUUGCACGAUGUUGCCGCGCCUUCACCGGUCACCAAUUCGUCACCGCUCUGCCACUCCUUUGUUGCCUCUUUGCUGUGCUUCGUUUCCAUCUUCGCCACCGUUCCUGGUUGUUGUUCCCAAAAAUAGCGAACGAGGAGUGCAUUUUAGAAUGAUUGGUAGCUUUAUUUGUGCAAUGAUGAUUGGCUAGAACUUGAGAAGAGGAUUAAGGCGCGAGCAGGAAGGGAGUUGCUGCAAGUUAUUGGUCAGACAUAUGUUAAGGUUGAUGGUGGCAAGAAGAACGGUGGAGGUGGAUUUCAAGUGGGGAAGAGAAAGGUGAAGACCAAAUUAACAGGCAAUGGAGCUUGAUAAAAGAGGAGGACAUGAUAUGAAGAAAAUAUUUUCCAUAGCAAUAUGAGAUGGGAUGGGUCUCAUAUAUAUAUAUAUAUAUAUUAAUAUUUUAAUGUGUUCUGUACUUUUUGUAAAUAGACUUUACCCGGUAUUAAAUGUAAUGGAUAAAUUACACUUUAUUUUUAUUUGUGUUGUCUGGACUAAAAAUAUAUCUAGCUU
Non-coding RNA from Arachis ipaensis, 811 nucleotides. Lineage: Eukaryota; Viridiplantae; Streptophyta; Magnoliopsida; Fabales; Fabaceae. The record is from RefSeq and is a predicted model, not a curated record.